CCUACGGGAGGCAGCAGUGGGGAAUAUUGGGCAAUGGGCGCAAGCCUGACCCAGCAACGCCGCGUGAAGGAAGAAGGCUUUCGGGUGGUAAACUUCUUUUCUGAGGGACGAAGAAAGUGACGGUACCGCAGGAAUAAGCAACGGCUAACUACGUGCCAGCAGCCGCGGGAAUACGUAGGUGGCAAGCGUUAUCCGGAUUUAUUGGGUGUAACGGGCGUGUAGGCGGGAAAGCAAGUCAGAUGUGAAAACUCCGGGCUCAACCCUGAGCCUGCAUUUGAAACUGUUUUUCUUGCGUGCUGGAGAGGCAAUCGGAAUUCCGUGUGUAGCGGUGAAAUGCGUAGAUAUACGGAGGAACCCCAGUGGCGAAGGCGGAUUGCUGGACAGUAACUGACGCUGAGGCGCGAAAGCGUGGGGAGCAAACAGGGUUAGAUACCCGAGUAGUC
This 443-nucleotide ribosomal RNA is filed under the name uncultured bacterium. RNAcentral describes it as "partial 16S ribosomal RNA". It matches the Rfam family "Bacterial small subunit ribosomal RNA", at positions 338 to 795 of the family's 1533-position model. The record is from RNAcentral.